GACGAACGCUGGCGGCGUGCUUAACACAUGCAAGUCGAACGAAGUGGCGAACGGGUGAGUAACGCGUAAUCAACCUGCCCUUCAGAGGGGGACAACAGUUGGAAACGACUGCUAAUACCGCAUACUGAAGGAGGGGAUUGCGUCUGAUUAGUUAGGUGGAGGGGUAACGGCCCACAAAGGCGAUGAUCAGUAGCAGGUCUGAGAGGAGUAACGGCCACAUUGGGACUGAGACAAGGCCCAGACUCCUCCGGGAGGCAGCAGUGGGGAAUCUGCCGGAAUUGGCGAAAGUCUGACGGAGCAACGCCGCGUGAGUGAUGACGGCGUUCGGGUUGUAAAGCUCUUUUAAUCGGGACGCGGUACCGGAAUAGAAAGCCACGGCUAACUACGUGCCAGCAGCCGCGGUAAUAC
RNAcentral lists this ribosomal RNA (408 nucleotides) under uncultured bacterium. RNAcentral's name for it is "partial 16S ribosomal RNA". It matches the Rfam family "Bacterial small subunit ribosomal RNA", at positions 28 to 526 of the family's 1533-position model. The record is from RNAcentral.